Molecule: ribosomal RNA, 497 nt
Filed under: uncultured bacterium
Lineage: Bacteria
Description: partial 16S ribosomal RNA
Rfam family: Bacterial small subunit ribosomal RNA
Source: RNAcentral
GAUGAACGCUGGCGGCGUGCCUAAUACAUGCAAGUCGAGCGAACAGACGAGGAGCUUGCUCCUCUGACGUUAGCGGCGGACGGGUGAGUAACACGUGGAUAACCUACCUAUAAGACUGGGAUAACUUCGGGAAACCGGAGCUAAUACCGGAUAAUAUAUUGAACCGCAUGGUUCAAUAGUGAAAGACGGUUUUGCUGUCACUUAUAGAUGGAUCCGCGCCGCAUUAGCUAGUUGGUAAGGUAACGGCUUACCAAGGCAACGAUGGGUAGCCGACCUGAGAGGGUGAAUCGCCACACGGGAACUGAGGCAGGGCCCAGACUCCGACGGGAGGACGCAGUAGGGAAUCUUCCGCAAUGGGGGAAAGCCGGACGGAGCAACGCCGCGGGAAGGAUGAAGGUCUUCGGAUCGGAAAACUCUGUUAUUAGGGAAGAACAAAUGUGUAAGUAACUAUGCACGUCUUGACGGUACCUAAUCAGAAAGCCACGGCUAACUACGUG